CUUGCUCGAUAAUCAAUUGUGAAUUGGUGAAGAUCUUUAAAUUAUUAAUGUCAAGUUCUUUGACAAUCUUUAAGUCGACUAAAAGAGCUUCGUUCUUGACAUGGUUAUUUGAGGCUUUUAAAUUAAACCGAAGGACAUAUUCGGUUACAAUCCCUUAAAAAUUGGUGAGGAUGAAACUGGCUCUACUGUCUUGUGCGUUGGAUGCUCCAUCAAUAUGUAGCACCCACACUGAUGCUAAGUCGGUCUCAAAAAUUUUAAUUUGCUUUGGUUUGUCAUUGAGUUCAUCUUCAAAAUUAUUGUCG
RNAcentral lists this long non-coding RNA (302 nucleotides) under Elaeis guineensis (African oil palm). Its description in RNAcentral is "long non-coding RNA (EGUI_LNC038641)". Lineage: Eukaryota; Viridiplantae; Streptophyta; Magnoliopsida; Arecales; Arecaceae. The record is from RNAcentral.